GUCGAGCGGGAUCCAUCCAGUAGCAAUACUGGUGAAGAUCUAGCGGCGAACGGGUGAGUAACACGUGAGAAACCUGCCCCGAACUCUGGGAUAACACGAGGAAACCCGUGCUAAUACCGGAUACCUUCUUUUGGCCGCAUGGUCAGAUGAAGAAAGAUUUAUCGGUUUGGGAGGGUCUCGCGGCCUAUCAGCUAGUUGGCGGGGUAAUGGCCCACCAAGGCAUCGACGGGUAGCUGGUCUGAGAGGACGAUCAGCCACACUGGGACUGAGACACGGCCCAGACUCCUACGGGAGGCAGCAGUGGGGAAUCUUGCGCAAUGGGCGAAAGCCUGACGCAGCAACGCCGCGUGCGGGAUGAAGGCCUUCGGGUUGUAAACCGCUUUCAGCAGGGAAGAAAAUGACGGUACCUGCAGAAGAAGCCCCGGCCAACUACGUGCCAGCAGCCGCGGUAACACGUAGGGGGCGAGCGUUGUCCGGAUUUAUUGGGCGUAAAGAGCUCGUAGGCGGUUCGGUAAGUCGGGUGUGAAACCUCCAGGCUCAACCUGGAGACGCCACCUGAUACUGCUGUGACUAGAGUCCGGUAGGGGAGUGUGGAACUCCUGGUGUAGCGGUGAAAUGCGCAGAUAUCAGGAAGAACACCAGCGGCGAAGGCGGCACUCUGGGCCGGUACUGACGCUGAGGAGCGAAAGCGUGGGUAGCAAACAGGAUUAGAUACCCUGGUAGUCCACGCCGUAAACGUUGGGCACUAGGUGUGGGUCUCAACCAACGAGAUCCGUGCCGCAGCUAACGC
RNAcentral lists this ribosomal RNA (790 nucleotides) under actinobacterium SCGC AAA043-P15. RNAcentral's name for it is "bacterial SSU rRNA". It matches the Rfam family "Bacterial small subunit ribosomal RNA", at positions 61 to 858 of the family's 1533-position model. Lineage: Bacteria; Bacillati; Actinomycetota; Actinomycetes. The record is from RNAcentral.